Molecule: long non-coding RNA, 790 nt
Organism: Etheostoma cragini (Arkansas darter)
Lineage: Eukaryota; Metazoa; Chordata; Actinopteri; Perciformes; Percidae
Exons: 2
Source: RefSeq, a predicted model, not a curated record
GUGUGUGUGUGUGUGUGUGUGUGUGUGUGUGUGUGAGAGAGGGGAUUUUUUUUCUGCCUCUAACAUUUCCUGCUUUCUAGCCAAUCACAACGUUACCUAUGUUACAAACUACGGUGCGCCCCAAGGCCCAAAUCAGGUCAGGUGACCGAAGGGGGCGGGGCCUUGUGUGCAUAUGUGUGUAUAUAGAUCAGGUGACCAAAAGGGGCGGGGCCUCGUGUAUAUAUAGAUCAGGUGACAGAAGGGGGCGGGGCCUCGUGUGUAUAUAGACCAGGUGAGACUCACCUGAGUCAGGAAUGUUCUCCAUAAUCUCUUCUUCAUGGUUCUCGGAAUGUAACCUCACCAGCCCGUGAAGAAGAGAUGCUUUAUGACGUAAUAGUGAAGGUAGGACACCGUUGACACUUCCUGUUACACGCGGUGCGUUCAGGGGCUCCUCUGACCGUCCGAGAUUCCUGUAUUGGCGUCGGAAAUUCUGAAUGUUGACUGUAACAAUAGCAACAAACAUGGCCGCUACGAAGAGAAGACUUUCUCUGUUGAGAGUGAGCUAGAUGAGUAAUUAAAGUUAUUUAUUUAGCUUUUAACGCGACGAUCACGUCCGUUAUGCGUUAAUAAGACGCCUCCCGAUACGAUAUCAUCACGAUACUUACGCCGCGAUACGAUAUCAUUGCGAUUUAAACAUAUCGCAAUAUUCUGCGACAUACUGCAAUCUAUAACCUUUAUCUCCAGCUUCUAAUUUUCCCAAAUUUUCAGACGACGUCCCCAAAAGGAAACUUAUCAGCAUCUGUUUCAUCUG